GACGAACGCUGGCGGCGUGCCUAAUACAUGCGAGUUGAGCGCUGAAGGUUGGUACUUGUACCAACUGGAUGAGCAGCGAACGGGUGAGUAACGCGUGGGGAAUCUGCCUUUGAGCGGGGGACAACAUUUGGAAACGAAUGCUAAUACCGCAUAAAAACUUUAAACACAAGUUUUAAGUUUGAAAGAUGCAAUUGCAUCACUCAAAGAUGAUCCCGCGUUGUAUUAGCUAGUUGGUGAGGUAAAGGCUCACCAAGGCGAUGAUACAUAGCCGACCUGAGAGGGUGAUCGGCCACAUUGGGACUGAGACACGGCCCAAACUCCUACGGGAGGCAGCAGUAGGGAAUCUUCGGCAAUGGACGAAAGUCUGACCGAGCAACGCCGCGUGAGUGAAGAAGGUUUUCGGAUCGUAAAACCCUGUUGGUAGAGAAGAACGUUGGUGAGAGUGGAAAGCUCAUCAAGUGACGGUAACUACCCAGAAAGGGACGGCUAACUACGUG
This 497-nucleotide ribosomal RNA is filed under the name uncultured bacterium. Its description in RNAcentral is "partial 16S ribosomal RNA". It matches the Rfam family "Bacterial small subunit ribosomal RNA", at positions 28 to 507 of the family's 1533-position model. The record is from RNAcentral.